This 203-nucleotide ribosomal RNA is filed under the name uncultured alveolate. RNAcentral's name for it is "partial Bacterial large subunit ribosomal RNA". It matches the Rfam family "Bacterial large subunit ribosomal RNA", at positions 1653 to 1839 of the family's 2925-position model. The record is from RNAcentral.
ACCGACACAGGUGGUCAGGUAGAGAAUACCAAGGCGUACGAGUGAACUAUGGUUAAGGAACUCGGCAAAAUACCCCCGUAACUUCGGGAGAAGGGGGACCCCUUACUGUCAUGGCACGUGCUGCCGGCAGCGGUGGGGGGUCGCAGAAACCAGUGAGAAGCGACUGUUUACUAAAAACACAGGUCCGUGCGAAGUCGCAAGAC